Molecule: transfer RNA, 73 nt
Filed under: Dreissena polymorpha
Lineage: Eukaryota; Metazoa; Mollusca; Bivalvia; Myida; Dreissenidae
Description: tRNA-Lys
Source: RNAcentral
AGCACGGAUGGCCGAGUGGUCCAAGCGAUAGACUUUUACUCAAGGGGUCAGUGGUUUGAGCCCAUUUGAGUUA